GAUGAACGCUGGCGGCGUGCCUAAUACAUGCAAGUCGAGCGAACAGAUAAGGAGCUUGCUCCUUUGACGUUAGCGGCGGACGGGUGAGUAACACGUGGGUAACCUACCUAUAAGACUGGGAUAACUUCGGGAAACCGGAGCUAAUACCGGAUAAUAUUUCGAACCGCAUGGUUCGAUAGUGAAAGAUGGUUUUGCUAUCACUUAUAGAUGGACCCGCGCCGUAUUAGCUAGUUGGUAAGGUAACGGCUUACCAAGGCGACGAUACGUAGCCGACCUGAGAGGGUGAUCGGCCACACUGGAACGGAGACACGGUCCAGACUCCUACGGGAGGCAGCAGUGUGGAAUCUUCCGCAAUGGGCGAAAGCCUGACGGAGCAACGCCGCGUGAGUGAUGAAGGUCUUCGGAUCGUAAAACUCUGUUAUUAGGGAAGAACAUACGUGUAAGUAACUGUGCACGUCUUGACGGUACCUAAUCAGAAAGCCACGGCUAACUACGUG
RNAcentral lists this ribosomal RNA (497 nucleotides) under uncultured bacterium. RNAcentral's name for it is "partial 16S ribosomal RNA". It matches the Rfam family "Bacterial small subunit ribosomal RNA", at positions 28 to 507 of the family's 1533-position model. The record is from RNAcentral.